GACAGAGGGUGCAAACGUUGUUCGGAAUUACUGGGCGUAAAGCGCGUGUAGGCGGCCAAGCAAGUCGGAUGUGAAAGCCCUCGGCUCAACCGGGGAAGUGCACUCGAAACUGCAUGGCUAGAGUCUCGGAGAGGAUCGUGGAAUUCUCGGUGUAGAGGUGAAAUUCGUAGAUAUCGAGAGGAACACCGGUGGCGAAGGCGGCAUCCUGGACCACCACUGACGCUGAGGAGCGAAAGCCAGGGGAGCAAACGGG
RNAcentral lists this ribosomal RNA (253 nucleotides) under uncultured bacterium. Its description in RNAcentral is "partial 16S ribosomal RNA". It matches the Rfam family "Bacterial small subunit ribosomal RNA", at positions 524 to 776 of the family's 1533-position model. The record is from RNAcentral.